RNAcentral lists this long non-coding RNA (12337 nucleotides) under Equus caballus (horse). RNAcentral's name for it is "lncRNA (ENSECAG00000050189.1)". Lineage: Eukaryota; Metazoa; Chordata; Mammalia; Perissodactyla; Equidae. The record is from RNAcentral.
GGAUCUGUCUUUCAAGAAAAUAUCAUGUAGGAAAUUUUGGUACUAAUGGUUUACUUUUCUUCUCUCUACACAUCGUAAGUUUAAGACCUCAUGCCAAUGUUGUUCCUCAGAUUCUCGUACUAUCAUAUGUUGUCCUGUAUUCGUCCCUUUUGAAGGUUUUGUUUUCUUGUAAUGGAAAGCUCUUCAUUUUUAUACUCCUUCUGCAUUGAAAAUAUUUAUACAAUCACAUCAAUGUUAUGUUUUCUGAAGUUGAUAACUGCACUGCGACUCUGUGGGAGAAUAUUCAUAUUCUUAGGAAAUAUAUAAUGAAAAUAUUUAGAGAAAAAAUCAUAAGGUGUGCAACUGAUGAAUUAAAGAGAGAAAAAGUGAUGAAGUCAAAGUGUUAUAAUGUUAAUAGGCGAAUAUAGAUAAAGGGUAUAUGAGUGUUAAUUGCACCAUUUUUAUUCAUGCUACUCUUCUGUAAAUUUGAAAUUACUGAAAAAUAAAGAGUAAAGUAUCAGUCUUUCUCAGUUUCUUUGAGUUCUUACUUUCUGCUGGGUGGCAAUUUAAGUGAUGUAUCAUAGAAGUCAUGCUCAUUUUAAUGUGGUGGAUCAUUACUGUGACAAUCCUGUCAUCUGCCAACAUAUACUGAGGGCUGUGUUGUUCUUCAUGGUCCAAUCUUGAAGGCAUCCAGUGAGUGUUUUACCUCUCUGAGAUUGUUAGUAACUUGUGGUAGACUGAGUAUCCAAGAUCACAUAAGGUACUGUGGGAAAAAUAUUAACCCCGUGUGUAAGCCAGAUUUAGGGAAGUUUCCUUUCAUGAGGUGGUAUCUGAGAUGAUAUUUCAAAUAAGUAACUUAUUAAACAAAUAAGCAGAGGAAGAACAUCAAACAUUCAAUUCUUUAUUCAGCCAAUAUUUCUUAUACAAUGUUAUAAUAAAAAUAAUAGCUCCUAGCUAAAUGAGUUUAAACUCAUAAUAAAAUAUGGCUACUGUCCCCAAGGAACUUGAAUUGUAGGCAUAGUUUGUGCAAAUAGGUGUAUCAAAUACAUAAAUUGUUUUGAUGCUCAUGUGGAAAAGGCACAGCUCAUUAGGAAGCAUUGGCUCUACCUUUGACAUGCAAAUUCAGCCAACCAAGGGGGCUGAGAGAAGACCCUGGAGAUGAGUGCGAAAUGGUGACUAGACGUUGCCAUCAGAUGAGUACACUAGAUAUGACACAAAAACAUGUGUAACAAUAAAAUAAGGAUUAAUUGGACUUCAUCAAAAUUAUACUCUAUAUCAGAAGAGAUUAGUAAACACUUAAUUAUAACAUCAAGUCUGGAGAGAAAGAAAGCAUCAAAUAUAAACGUAACCAUCUUAACUUGGUAAGAAACCUACAAUACAAAAAGAGAUAACUUGUGACAAGAAAAACAGAAGGAGAAGAGAAAAUGACAGAACCUACAAAGGUCAAUGCAGAAAAAAUGCUAUAAGCAUGAAAAAACUGUCUCAUUUAUAACAUCUUUUAUGCAAACCUUAUGGUAACUAUAAAAUAAAAAAUUAGAGCAGAGUCACAAAACAUAAAAAAGAGGAACCUGAGAAACAUAUCACAGAAAACCACCAAAGUGAAGUGGCAGACAGAAAUACAAGGAAAAUGAAUGAAUAGAAAAGCAAGGAAACAAAAGAUAAAAGACAGUAUGAAGCCCACAUAUAUCCAUAAUCACUCUAAAUGUAAAUGGAUUGAAUUUACCAAUCAAAAGACAGAGAGAGUUGGAGGGACUAAUAUAUGAGAGCCAACAAUAUGCCACCUCUGGGAAACGUAUCUCAGCUAUACAGGCAAACACAAGCUCAGAGUGAAGGGAUAAAAGAUGAUACCCCAGGAAAUGGCAAACAAAAGAAAGCAGGUGUAGCCAUACUUGUAUCAGACAAAAUAGACUUCAAGACAAAAGAUAGAAAGAAACAAAAAUGAGCAUUAAACAAUGAUAAAUAAAGACAUUCCACAAAAAUGACAUAACAUUUAUUAAUAUAUGUGCACCUAACAUAGGAGCAAUAAAAUAUACAAAGCAACUAAAGAGAACAAAAGGGAGAAAUUCACAGCAACACUAUAAUAGUAGGGGACAUUAGCAUCCCAGUUACAUCUAUGAAUAGAUUGUCUAGAUAGAAAGUCAACGAGAAAGCACUGGUCUUAAAUGAAACACUAGACCAGAUGGACUUAAUAAAUACCUAUGGAAUAUUCCAUCCAAAAGCAGCAGAUACAUAUUCUUCUCAAGCACACAUGGGACAUUCUCAAAGAUACGCUGUAUGUUGGAGGAAAAAGCAAGUCUCAAUAAAUUCAAGAAGAUUGAAAUCCUAAGAUUGUUUACUGAUCACAAUGAUAUGAAACAAGAAAUCAACUACAAGAAGAAAGCUGGAAAAGUCACAAAUAUGUGGAGAUUAAAAAUACGAUACUGAAAAACCACUGGAUGAAUGAAGAAAUCACAGGAGAAGUUACAAAAUACUUGGAGACAAACAAAAAUUAAAAUAUAGCAUAUCAAACCUUAUGGGAUACAGCAAAAGCAGUACUAAAAGGGAAGUACAUAGAAAUGCAGGGCUACCUCAAGAAACAAGAAAAAUCUCCAGUAAACAAUCUAACAUUACUAAUUACCUGAAAGAACUGGAAAAGAAGAACAAACAAAACCCAAAGUCAGUAGAAGGAAGAAAAUAAUAAGAAUCAGAUAAGAAAUUAUAGAAAUAGACACUAAAAAGACAAUAGAAGUGAUUAAUCAAACUAAAAGCUCAUUCUUUGAAAAGGGAAACAAAACUGACAAACCUUUAUCUGAACUCACAAAGUAAAAGAGAAAGAAGGCUGAAAUAAAAUCAAAAAUAAAAGAGGAGAAAUUACCAUAAAUACCACAGAAAUGCAAAGGAAUAUGAGAAUACUUUCAAAAACUAUCCACCAACAAAGUGAGUAACCUGUAAGAAGUAGGUAAAUUCUUAGAAUCAUACAAACUCCCAAAACUGAAUCAAGAAGAAAUAGAGAAUAUGAAUAGACCAAUCACAAGUGAACAUAUUGAAACUAUAAUCAAAAACCUCCCAAAGUACGAAACCCCAGGAUGAGGUGCAUUCCAUAUAUUCAAAGAAGAUUUAAUAGUCAUCCUUCAAAAAAUAUUGCAAAAAUUGCAGAGGAUGGAACACUUUCAAACUCAUUUUAUGAGACCAACAUUAUCCUGAUACCAAAACCAGACAAGGACAACACAAAACAGGAAAAUUACAGGCCAAUAUCACUGAUGAACAUAGAUGAAAAAAUCCUGAACGAAAUAUUAGCAAAUCCAAUACUACCAUACAUUAAAAGGAUCUUAUACCACGAUCAAGUAGGAUUUAUUCCAGGGACACAGGGAUAGUUCAACAUCUACAAGUUAAUCGAUGUGAUACAUCGCAUUAAUAAAAGGAGAAUAAAAAUCAUAUGAUCAUCUCAAUAGACAGAAAGAAAACAUUUGACAGAAUUCAACAUUCACUUAAGAUAAAAACUCUGAAUGACAUGGCUAUACAAGGAAAGUAAUUUAACAUAAUAAAGGCCAUAUAUGACAAACCCAUGGCCCAUACACUCAAUGGUGAAAAAAUGAAAACUAUCCCUUUAAGAACAAUAAAAAGUCAAGGAUGCCCUCCCUUGUCACACUUAGUCAUUAUGGAAUUUGAAGUCCUAGCCAUAACAAUUAAGCAAGAAAAGGAAAUAAAAUGGAUCCAAGUUGGAAAGAAAGAAAUAAAACAGUUACUAUUGAAGAUAACAUGAUUGUAUAUAGAAAAUCCUAAAGAAUGUACAAAAAAAAUGAUUAGAAAUAAUAAACAAAUAAAGUAAAGUUGCAAGGUACAAAAUCAACAUGUAAAAUCAGUUGCGUUUCUAUAGACUGAUAAGAAACUAGUAGGAAGAGAGAUCAAGAAUACAAUCUCCUUUACAUUCAUAACAAAAUGAAUAAAAUAGAAUAAAUUUACCCAAGGAGAUGAAAGACCUAUGCACUGAAAAACAUAAGACAUUAUGGAAAGAAAUCAAAGAAGAUAUGAAGAAAUGGAAAGAUGUUCCCUGCUCUUGGAUUGGAAGAUUUAACAAGGUUAAAAUGCCCAUAUUACUUAAAGCAAUCUACAUAUUGUGUGCAAUCCCAAUCAGAAGCCAAUGGCAUUUUUCACAGUAGAACAAAGAAUCCUAAAAUUCAUAUGAAACAGCAAAAAAUCUUGAAUAGCCAAAACAAUCCUGUGGGAAAACAACAAAGCUUGAGGUAGCACACUCCCUGAAUUCAAAAUAUGCUUCCAAGCUGUAGUAAUCAAGACAGCACGAUUCUGGGGGGAAGGCAAGCAAAUAGAUCAAUGGGACAGAAUUCAAAGCUCAGAAAUAAAACCACACAACUAUGAACAGCUAAUCUUUGACAAAGGAGCCAAGAACGUACCAUGGAUAACAGACAGUCUCUUCAAUAAAUGGUGUUAGGAAAGUUGGACAGCCACAUGAAAAAGAAUGAGUGUACACUAUUAUCUUAGAAUAUACAUGACAAUUAUCUCAAAAUGGAUUAAAGCCUUUAAUGUAAGACCUGAAACCAUAAAGCCCCUAGAAGACAACAUAGGCCAUAUGCUGUUUGACAUUGGUCUUUUUGUUUGUGUGUGAGGAAGAGUGGCCCUGAUCUAAUGUCUGUUGGUAAUCUUCCUUUACUUUAUGUGGGAUGCCCCCAGAGCAUGGCUUGAUGAGUGGUGCUAGGUCCACACCCAGGAUCCGAACCUGCGAACCCCCAGGCUGCUGAAGUAGAAUGUGUGAAGUUAGCCACUACACCACAGGACUGGCCCCUGACAUUGGUCUCAGCAGAGUCCUUUUGAAUACAACAACUAGUGCAGCCACUAUGGGAAGCAGUAUGGAGUAUCCUCAGAAAAUUAAGAAUAGAUCUACCAUGUGAUCCCGCUAUUCCACUGCUGGGUAUUUAUCCAGAGAACUUGAAGAUACUUGCACCCCUAUGUUCAUCACGGCAAUAUACACAAUAGCCAAAACAUAGAAGCAACCUAGGUGCCCAUCAAGGGUCGAAUGGAUAAAGAAGAUGUGGUAUUUCUACACGAUGGAAUACUACUCACCAGUAAGAAAUGAUGAAAUCCAGCCACUUGUCACAGCAUGGAUGGACCUUGAAGGUAUUAUGCGGAGUGAAAUAAGUCAGAAGGAGAAAGUCAAAUACUGUAUGAUCUCACUCAUAAGUAGAAGAUAAAAACAACUAAAAACAAACACAUAGCAUUGGAGAUUGGAUUGGUGGUUACCAUAGGGAGAAAGAGAGGAGGGCAAAAGGGGUGAUUAGGCUCACAUGUGAAGGGAUGAACUAUAAUUAGUUUUUGGGUGGUGAACAUGAUGUAAUCUACACAGAAUUUGAAAUAUAUUAUGAUGUACAUCUGAAAAUAAAUAAAUUAAUUUUAAAAGAUACUUAGUAUUAAUAAAAUAUUAAAUUUAUUGACACUGCUUUCAUGUUAAUAUGUGAUCCAUCCUGGAGAAUGUUCCCUUUGCAUUUGAAAAGAGUGUGCAUUCUGUGGUUUUUGGACGGAAUGUUCUGUAUAUAUCUACUAAGUCCAUCUAUCGAAUGUGUCAUUUAAGCCCAAUGUUUCCUUAUAGAGCUUCUGUUCAGAUGAUCUAUGCAUUGAUUUAAGUGGAAUGUUAAAGUCCCUCACUAUUAUUGUUACCAUUUCUCCUUUUAUGUCUGUUAAUAAUUGCUUUAUAUAUUUAGGUGCUGCUAUGUUGGGUGCAUAUAUGUUUAUAAGUGUUAUGUCUUCUUGUUGGAUCUUUUCCUUUAUCAUUAUGCACUGACCUUCUUUGUCUGUUCUUAUAUUUUUUGUUUUAAAGUCUCUUUUGUCCGCUAUAAUUAUUGCCACCUCAGUUUUCUUUUCAUUAGCAUUUUCAUGGUGUUUCUUUUUCCAUCUCUUCACUUUCAGUUUGAGAGUGUUUUCAGGUUUGAAGUGUGUCUUUUAUAUGCAGCACAUACAUGGGUCUUGAUUUUUUAUCCAUUCAGUCACCGUAUGUCUUUUUUGGAGUAUUUAUCCCAUUUACAUUUAAAAUAAUUAUUUUUAAGAGUAUACUUCUCACCAUUUUAUUACAUAUUUUUCUGAGUGUUGUAAUAGUUAUCUGUUCCUUUCUUCUCCUCUUGCUGUCUUCCCUUGUGAUUUGAUGGAUGUCUUUCAUAUUACAUUUGCAUUCUUUCUCAAUUUGUUUAGUAUUUAUUAUACGUUUCUGUUUGUGAUUAUGAUGAGGUUCAUGCAUAAUAACCUAUGAAAAUAGCGAUCUAUAUUGAUGGUCUCUUAAAAUAGGCCUAUUAUGAAAAACUCUACAUUCUUACUCCCCUCCCCCAAGAUUUUAUGCUUUUGACGUCAUAUUUAACCUCUCUUUUUCUGUAUUUAUCCCUUAAUCUCUUAUCAUGGAAAUAGAUAAUUUUACUACUUUUUGUCUUUUGAUCUUCAUAUUAGCUUUAUAGGUGGUUUAACUACUACCUUUAGUGUAUAUUUGCCUUUACUAGUGAUUUUUUCCUUUGAUAAUUUUCUUAUUCCUAUUUGUCAUCUUUUGUUUUUCACUUGAAUAAAUUCCUUUAGCAUUUUGUGUAAGGCUGGCUUAGUGGUGACAAACUCCUAUAGGUUUUGCUUCUCUGGACAACUAUUUAUGUCUCCUUCAGUUUUGAAAGAUAAAUUUAUUGGGUAUAGUGUUCUUGGUUGUAGGUUUCCUCCUUUCAGCACUUUAAAUAUACUGUGCUGCUCUCUUCUAGCCUCUAAGUUUACUUCUGAGAAGUCAGAUUAUAUACUUAUGGGGUUUCUUUUGUAUGUAUCUUUUUUACUUUCCCUUGCAGCUUUUAGGAUUCUCUGUCUUUAAUUCUGGACAUUUUAAUUAUAAUUUGUCCUGAUGUGGACCUUUCUGUAUUCAUCUUUUUUGAUGUUCUCUGCACUUCCUGGCCUGGAUAUCUGUUUUCUUCCUUACGUUAGGGAAUUUUUCAGCUAUUAUUUCUUCAUGUAGGUUCUCUGCCCCUUUGUCUCUCUAUUCUCCUUCUGGAACACCUAUAAUACAGAUGUUAGUGUGCUUGAUGCUGUCCCACAGGUCCCUUAGACUAUUUUUCAUUCUUUUUAAUUCUUUUUUUACUUUUUCUUUUCAGCUUGGGUGAUUUCCUCCACUCUCUAAUAAGCUCACUGAUGUAUUCUUUUGUGUCAUCUACUCUGUUAUUGACUUCUUCUAAUGAAUUUUUUCAAUUAUAAUAUUCUUCAGUUCUGAUUUGUUGUUUUUAUAUUUUCCACUUCUUUGUUGAAGUUCUCACUGUUUUCACCCAUUCUUCUCCCAAGAUCAUUUAGCAUCCUUAUGAGUAUUAGUUUGUACUCUUUAUCAGGUAGAUUGUUUAUCUCUGUUUCAUUUAUUUCUUUUUCUGAGGAUUUUCCUGUUUCUUUUUCAGAAUAUAUUCCUUUGUAUUCUCACUUUACCUACUUCUCUGUGCUUAUAUCUAUGUAUUAGAUGGAUCAGCUCCCAAUAUGUCCUUAUAUAAGAGAUACAUUAUGGAGCCCAGUAAUUUGAUUCCAUCUUGUCACCAGUUCCUAAUGUUUCAGGAGUUUCCCCUGCAAAGGCUACAUGUGUCCUUCUGUUGUGGCACAGUUACUCUUGCUGUGGAUUCUGGCCCCCAGGCUGGCGGGUUGUAAUUCUAAGCUGUGUGCAGGUCCUAUGGUCACUUUAUUCACAUCAUUGGGUGGGGAAAGCCCCAGCACAGCUGCCUUCAAGGUCUAAUAGCACAUAACUGCUGCUGUUUUGCUGUUAAGUGAGUCAGACACUCAGCAUGGUUGGUUGCUAGACUCAGGGGCUCACAAUUGCUGUAGGCCUCUGGUCUCAGAGGCUGUUGUCAGGUUUGUCAGGUGUGCAGCUGGGUGGAGCUGUUCCUAGGCAUGGCAUCACAAAAUCAUUUCAGGUGUUGGAGUGUGGGGCAGAUACCCUGUGUGGCUGUUUGAGAUGGCCAAUGGCACAAGUCUGCUGCCACUGACAACCCCCACCACCUAUGGGUCCACACAUCCAACCAAUGCAGUCCUGUCUUACGUGCAUUUCCUGCCAUGCCAAUACUGAUUCACUCAACUCACUGCAGAAGUCCUGUACGCCCCACCUACAUGGUCGCAUAAGUUCCCUGCAGGCCUUCUGGUGAGCAGGACCAGUCCUCCAGGUGGUCUGCCUGCCCUGGCUGAACUGGAUUAAAUCGGUGCUCUAAUGGCUGCAGCAAAUCCCUGCACAAACAGGAGACGAAGGAAUCCAAUGGCAUCUGCUAGUGUCUGUAUCAGCAUGCUUGUAUUACAUCACAAUAAUAGCUGUUGCCAAUGUCUCAGUCGCUGUGUAGGUGGGCCCAGCUGUAGCCUGCCUCUUGGAGAUGUGCUCAGGGGUUAUCAAGUCUCUUUUACCAAAAGACUAUGCACCUUUCUUUCUGGUGAUUUGUGUUGGUUUCAGGAAUGGGUCAACCUGUGCAUAGCCCCUCUAAGAGCAGACUUUACUUUCUCUUAUGUUCAAUAGCUUUUCUGGGGGUAUCCUGAUUGGUUUUAAUAGCCAGCAAAGCCACGUAUUGUGGCAUUCAUCUCAGUUGUGCUUAAGUCAAAGGCUGCUUAUUGUGGCAGAGCGCUCCUGCUCAGUUCCACAACUCCUCCAGGAAAGGCUUUGUAUCUUAAGUUUGCUCCUGGCCAUGAGUACUGUGGCUAGAAUGUGGUUUAUUCCUCAGCAGAGGGAUAUUUCUGUCUCUUGCACGUCUGUCAGUAUUGCCCCUUGCUGUGGAGGUUCUUUUUAUCCAGUUUCCUGUUCUCUCUGAAAGGUAAUUGUUCCAUUGAUAGUUGUAGAUUUGUUAUAUCCCCAGGAUGAGGUGAAUUCAGAGGCCUCCUAUGCCACUAUCUUUCCAACAAUCUCCUAUUUGUUAGAAAAUUUUUGAUUCAAUCAUCUUGAUUGUUAUUGGUCUGUUCAGGGUUUCUAUUUCUUAUUGAUUUAAUCAUGGUAGGUUAUAUGCUUCUAGGAAUUUAUCUAUUUCUUCUAAGUUAUCCAGUUUGCUGGUGCAUAAUUCUUUAUAAUAGUCUCUAAUGAUUCUUAAUAUUUCUGUCACCUCAUGAAAUUUCUCCUCCUUCAUUUGUUUUCAUUUAUUUGAGCCUGCUUUUAUUCUUACUCUAGCUAAGGCUUUAUUGAUUUUGUUUAACUUUAAAAAAAUCUUAUUUUCAUUGAUUCUUCUAUUGUUUUUCUUUUCUCUAUUUUAGUUAUUUCUUCUCUAGUCUUUACUAUUUCCUUUAUUCUGCUAUUUUUUGGGUUUAUUUAGUUAAUAUGUAUUCCACUACUGUUGAGUGAAAAGUUCUGUGUAUGUCUGUUAGCUCAAUUUCACUUUUUGGGUUGUCUAAUUCAGCUGUUUCUUUAUUGUUUUUCUGCCUGGAUGUUCUAUCCAAUAUUGAAAUGGGAGUAUUGAAGCAUCCUAAUAUUAUUAUAUUUUGCUCUCUUUUUCCCUCAGUCAUAUUAUUUUUUAUUUAUUUAUGAGCUUUGCUGUUCGAUGCAUAUAUAUUUAUAAUUAUGUUUACUUGAUGAAUUGAUCCUUUUAUCAUUAUAUCAUGUUCUUCUUUUUCUCCUUUAACCAUUUCUGACAUAGAGACUCUUUUGUCAAAUAUAAAGUAUAGCCACAGCUCUUCCCUCUUAUUUAUUACUAGCAUUGGGUAUUUUUUUUGUGCCUUCAUUUUCCGACUUUUCACUUCCUUAAAUCUGAAGUUGUUUUUCUUAUAGAAAGCAUGUAGUAGAGUCUUACUCUUUUAAAAAGUCCAUUCAGCUGCUUUAUAUCUUUUGAUUGGAGAUUUUAGUCCAAAUAGACAAAGAAAUCAUUGAUAGGCAAUGACUUAUUAUUGCCAUUUUGUUAUUUAUUGUGAAAGUGUCUUGCAAUUGUUACUCUAUUCCUCUCUUGCUGUUUUGCUUUCCAUUUUGUUAAUUGUUGUACUCAUAUUCUUUGAUUCCUUUCCACUUUUCUGUUUUGUAUCAUCUAUAGGUGUUUUUAUGUGUGGUUACUGUGAGACUUACAUAAAGUAUCUUAAUAUUACAAUAGUAUAUUUUAGUGGUGACAUCUUAACAUCAACCACAUCUACAUUUUUACUUCACCCCUCACAUUUUACAAUAAUUUUAUGUUAUUGAUGUCACAAUUUAUAUAUAUUUAUGCUAUCUCUAUUAAGCAACUUUCACAGUUAUAGUUAUUCUUAAAAUUUUUGUCUUUUAAUGUUUACACUAAAAUUAAGAGAAAUCUAUACACUGUGAUUAAAUUAAUUUAUGCAUUGUGGUUUACUACUUUAGUAAAGUAUUCUGCAUUUGUAUACAUAUGUAACUACAUAAAAUGUUUUAUAAUUUCAUAUGUGUUCAUGUUGUUGUUUAUUGUCUUUUCCUUUAAAUGUGAAGACCCUUUAGCAUUUGUUGUAAGUCAGGUCAGGUGGUGACAAACUCUCUCAGGUUUUAUUUGAGUAGAAAUGUGUUUAUAUCAUCUCUGUUUUAAAAAGAUACUUUUUAUGGGUAUCGAAUUCUUCAUUUGUGAUUUUUUCAUUCAGCAUUUUGAAUAUAUCAUCUCACACUCUUCUGUUCUGCAAAGUUUCCACUGAGAAAUGCAAGGAGUGGUAAUUUAGGGCUCUGGUUUGGAGCAGAUUUGUUUCUGGGUGACCUACUUCCUUUUUUCUAAGUGACACUAUUUUUCUUCUUUCUGUUCUUUGUCAUCCUCUCCACUAUUUAUUUUUUUAUUCUUCUUUUUCCCUGGUAGUUUUGGUCAGUUUGAAGAAUCUAACAAUUCUGAAUCUUUGUAUGUGGUUAACAAGCAUGAGGCAGAUUAAUUUGCUAUUCUUGUAGGCUGAACAGACAAAUCAAAAUUUAAGUUUAUUACAUGUGGGAUGUUUAUGACUAACAAAAUAAGGAAAACUUUAGAGAAUAAUACUUUCCAGGAGGCUAACAACUUACAUCAUUAUUUUUUAAAAUAUUCCACCUGGAAUGCAGGCAAUACUUUUUCAGUGUUCUAUGAGAAUGCCACUAUCAAAAAAGAAUGGUCAGACUUUACACUAAUUCAGACAGUCUUCUAACAGAUAAUUUACAUCUUUUUACACACAGAUGCAUCAUUAUAAAGUAAUCUAAAAUAAUUUUCUAAUAUAUUUUUAUAUUUAUUUUAACUAUACUGUUUCCACAUACAGUGAGAAAGGAACAGAAAAAAGAACUUAGUUUUUAUGAGAUUUGCUGCUAAUAUAAGAAAUAAAUAGAAUAAAUAUAAUUGUUGAGGAAAAAUGAUCAUUUGAACUCAAUAAAUCUUGUAUGACCACCACAUCUGUGAAAAGGCAUCAUGUGAAAAGCAGUAUAGGGAUAGAGGAAUGUAUUUCCUGAGUUAAGGUUUAUUACAGUUUCUAGAGAUGGCAGAAUGCAGAAAAUUUAACACAUGAUUUUGAUGUAAGGUAGUGUGACAAGAUGAAUCCUCACUAAGAGACUUGGAUUCUAGAAAGUUAGAAAUGACGUGCCUGGUUAGAAAUUCUAGGAAAGGUUAAUGGAGGUAGUGACCUACAGGUGACUUCUGGAGAAUGCCGACUUUUCCAUCUCCAAAGACAACUUUCAAUAGAGUUUCUGUAUCAGGAUAUAAGAUUACUACCCCCUGUAUGCUUCCAAUAUGAUACCAUAAGAAUAUAAUUUGCAAUUUACACAUUUCUGAGAUUUAAUUUAAAAGCUGACUACUUCUCAGAGAAAGCUCAGAAAUUAUGACAAUGAGGAGGCUAAAAACUGAAAGAUAACUUGCCAAUAUGUGAGAGGGGAGUUACUGAAGAUAUUUUGGGUAAAAAUCUUCCAUUUUCAUCAACAUUUGUCCCUGUCCAAUGUUGUUCCACAUGUGAUAUUAUCUACUUCCCUCUCCACAAGAUUCCUGCUCUCUUUAGAAGAUUUGAAAAGAGGAACAAAUAAAUAUUAAUUUCAUGUAAGUUGAGACAAACAGAUAUAGAAAACAUAAGUAGUGGGUAUGAGAUUCAUGAUGAAAUUUUGGUUCUCAGUUAAAGCUGUUUCCAGGCCAUCUCCUGAACAGAUAAGCAGAAAUUACGUGAGUCAGUACCCAGAGUGAGGAGCUCAGAAGAAUAAAUUGCAUUACUCUUUUCUUUGGGCAUUUAAGGGGUAAGGAAUCUCAGGGCAACUUGCUAACAUUCUCACAGAAUAUGGUAAAUUCUGUGUAGAAAUAAAGUAAGUAUAGGGAUUCUGCCAAAGAUAGAAAGCUAGUGUAGCUCAACUAGGGAGGCGUGGAUGGUUGAACAGACAGUACCCAAGUGUUUCCCACUGUAGCAUCUGCAGUAAAACAGAAACACAGAAGGAGCCACCUAACAACUUGUAUUUCACCAUCAUCAAUUCUUCACGUUUUCCCACCUGCUUUUUUUU